Molecule: ribosomal RNA, 429 nt
Filed under: Chloroflexota bacterium
Lineage: Bacteria; Bacillati; Chloroflexota
Description: Chloroflexi bacterium partial 16S ribosomal RNA
Rfam family: Bacterial small subunit ribosomal RNA
Source: RNAcentral
UGGGGAAUAUUGCACAAUGGGCGCAAGCCUGAUGCAGCCAUGCCGCGUGUAUGAAGAAGGCCUUCGGGUUGUAAAGUACUUUCAGUCGGGAGGAAGGUGGUAAGGUUAAUAACCUUAUCAAUUGACGUUACCGACAGAAGAAGCACCGGCUAACUCCGUGCCAGCAGCCGCGGUAAUACGGAGGGUGCAAGCGUUAAUCGGAAUUACUGGGCGUAAAGCGCACGCAGGCGGUUGAUUGAGUCAGAUGUGAAAUCCCCGGGCUUAACCCGGGAAUUGCAUCUGAUACUGGUCAGCUAGAGUCUUGUAGAGGGGGGUAGAAUUCCAUGUGUAGCGAUGAAAUGCGUAGAGAUGUGGAGGAAUACCGGUGGCGAAAGCGGCCCCCUGGACAAAGACUGACGCUCAGGUGCGAAAGCGUGGGGAGCAAACAGG